RNAcentral lists this ribosomal RNA (434 nucleotides) under uncultured Lachnospiraceae bacterium. RNAcentral's name for it is "partial 16S ribosomal RNA". It matches the Rfam family "Bacterial small subunit ribosomal RNA", at positions 341 to 792 of the family's 1533-position model. The record is from RNAcentral. Lineage: Bacteria; Bacillati; Bacillota; Clostridia; Lachnospirales; Lachnospiraceae.
ACGGAAGGCAGCAGUGGGGAAUAUUGCACAAUGGGCGAAAGCCUGAUGCAGCGACGCCGCGUGAGUGAAGAAGUAUCUCGGUAUGUAAAGCUCUAUCAGCAGGGAAGAAAAUGACGGUACCUGACUAAGAAGCCCCGGCUAACUACGUGCCAGCAGCCGCGGUAAUACGUAGGGGGCAAGCGUUAUCCGGAUUUACUGGGUGUAAAGGGAGCGUAGACGGUUUGGCAAGUCUGAAGUGAAAUGCGGGGGCUCAACUCCUGAACUGCUUUGGAAACUGUCGAACUAGAGUGCAGGAGAGGUAAGUGGAAUUCCCAGUGUAGCGGUGAAAUGCGUAGAUAUUAGGAGGAACACCAGUGGCGAAGGCGGCUUACUGGACUGUAACUGACGUUGAGGCUCGAAAGCGUGGGGAGCAAACAGGAUUAGAUACCCUGGUA